Molecule: unclassified non-coding RNA, 146 nt
Filed under: uncultured Lecanoromycetes
Lineage: Eukaryota; Fungi; Ascomycota; Lecanoromycetes
Description: sequence contains ITS2
Source: RNAcentral
CAACCUUCAAGCCUGGCUUGGUAUUGGGUGCCGUCCCCCGGGGCGCGCCUGGAAAACAGCGGCGGUGCGGCCGGUGAUCGAGCGUAGUAACUACUCCCGCUUCGAGCCACCCGGGCGUUCCAGCCGGACAACAUCUAUUUUUCAAU